RNAcentral lists this ribosomal RNA (160 nucleotides) under Valsa subclypeata. Its description in RNAcentral is "5.8S ribosomal RNA". It matches the Rfam family "5.8S ribosomal RNA". Rfam says of the family: 5.8S ribosomal RNA (5.8S rRNA) is a component of the large subunit of the eukaryotic ribosome. It is transcribed by RNA polymerase I as part of the 45S precursor that also contains 18S and 28S rRNA. Lineage: Eukaryota; Fungi; Ascomycota; Sordariomycetes; Diaporthales; Cytosporaceae. The record is from RNAcentral.
AAAACUUUCAACAACGGAUCUCUUGGUUCUGGCAUCGAUGAAGAACGCAGCGAAAUGCGAUAAGUAAUGUGAAUUGCAGAAUUCAGUGAAUCAUCGAAUCUUUGAACGCACAUUGCGCCCUCUGGUAUUCCAGAGGGCAUGCCUGUUCGAGCGUCAUUUC